RNAcentral lists this ribosomal RNA (467 nucleotides) under uncultured bacterium. RNAcentral's name for it is "partial 16S ribosomal RNA". It matches the Rfam family "Bacterial small subunit ribosomal RNA", at positions 28 to 507 of the family's 1533-position model. The record is from RNAcentral.
GACGAACGCUGGCGGCGUGCUUAACACAUGCAAGUCGAACGGAAAGGCCCUGCUUUUGUGGGGUGCUCGAGUGGCGAACGGGUGAGUAACACGUGAGUAACCUGCCCUUGACUUUGGGAUAACUUCAGGAAACUGGGGCUAAUACCGGAUAGGAGCUCCUGCUGCAUGGUGGGGGUUGGAAAGUUUCGGCGGUUGGGGAUGGACUCGCGGCUUAUCGGCUUGUUGGUGGGGUAGUGGCUUACCAAGGCUUUGACGGGUAGCCGGCCUGAGAGGUGACCGGCCACAUUGGGACUGAGAUACGGCCCAGACUCCUACGGGAGGCAGCAGUGGGGAAUAUUGCACAAUGGGCGGAAGCCUGAUGCAGCAACGCCGCGUGCGGGAUGACGGCCUUCGGGUUGUAAACCGCUUUCGCCUGUGACGAAGCGUGAGUGACGGUAAUGGGUAAAGAAGCACCGGCUAACUACGUG